UAGAUGAAUGCUCGCCGGUUUGGGCGCUUAGCUGUUAACUAAGUCUUUGUAGGAUCGAGGCCUUCUCAUCUAG
This 73-nucleotide transfer RNA is filed under the name Percopsis transmontana (sand roller). RNAcentral's name for it is "tRNA-Asn". Lineage: Eukaryota; Metazoa; Chordata; Actinopteri; Percopsiformes; Percopsidae. The record is from RNAcentral.